GCUUGUCUCAAAGAUUAAGCCAUGCAUGUCUAAGUACAAGCCUCAGUAAGGUGAAACCGCGAAUGGCUCAUUAUAUCAGUUAUAGUUUAUUUGAUAAUUGAAAAUUACAUGGAUAACCGUGGUAAUUCUAGAGCUAAUACAUGCUAUCAAGCCCGACUUCUUGAAGGGUUGUAUUUAUUAGACUUAAGCCAAUAUUCCUUGUGUCUAUUGCGAUGAUUCAUAAUAACUGAUCGAAUCUCAAAUUUGAGAUAAAUCAUUCAAGUUUCUGCCCUAUCAGCUUUCGAUGGUAGUGUAUUGGACUACCAUGGCAGUAACGGGUAACGAAGAAUUAGGGUUCGAUUUCGGAGAGGGAGCAUGAGAAACGGCUACCACAUCUAAGGAAGGCAGCAGG
Molecule: ribosomal RNA, 391 nt
Filed under: uncultured Scuticociliatia
Lineage: Eukaryota; Ciliophora; Oligohymenophorea
Description: partial small subunit ribosomal RNA
Rfam family: Eukaryotic small subunit ribosomal RNA
Source: RNAcentral